Molecule: ribosomal RNA, 889 nt
Filed under: Shigella sonnei
Lineage: Bacteria; Pseudomonadati; Pseudomonadota; Gammaproteobacteria; Enterobacterales; Enterobacteriaceae
Description: partial 23S ribosomal RNA
Rfam family: Bacterial large subunit ribosomal RNA
Source: RNAcentral
GGAGCAGCCCAGAGCCUGAAUCAGUGUGUGUGUUAGUGGAAGCGUCUGGAAAGGCGCGCGAUACAGGGUGACAGCCCCGUACACAAAAAUGCACAUAUUGUGAGCUCGAUGAGUAGGGCGGGACACGUGGUAUCCUGUCUGAAUAUGGGGGGCCCAUCCUCCAAGGCUAAAUACUCCUGACUGACCGAUAGUGAACCAGUACCGUGAGGGAAAGGCGAAAAGAACCCCGGCGAGGGGAGUGAAAAAGAACCUGAAACCGUGUACGUACAAGCAGUGGGAGCACGCUUAGGCGUGUGACUGCGUACCUUUUGUAUAAUGGGUCAGCGACUUAUAUUCUGUAGCAAGGUUAACCGAAUAGGGGAGCCGAAGGGAAACCGAGUCUUAACUGGGCGUUAAGUUGCAGGGUAUAGACCCGAAACCCGGUGAUCUAGCCAUGGGCAGGUUGAAGGUUGGGUAACACUAACUGGAGGACCGAACCGACUAAUGUUGAAAAAUUAGCGGAUGACUUGUGGCUGGGGGUGAAAGGCCAAUCAAACCGGGAGAUAGCUGGUUCUCCCCGAAAGCUAUUUAGGUAGCGCCUCGUGAAUUCAUCUCCGGGGGUAGAGCACUGUUUCGGCAAGGGGGUCAUCCCGACUUACCAACCCGAUGCAAACUGCGAAUACCGGAGAAUGUUAUCACGGGAGACACACGGCGGGUGCUAACGUCCGUCGUGAAGAGGGAAACAACCCAGACCGCCAGCUAAGGUCCCAAAGUCAUGGUUAAGUGGGAAACGAUGUGGGAAGGCCCAGACAGCCAGGAUGUUGGCUUAGAAGCAGCCAUCAUUUAAAGAAAGCGUAAUAGCUCACUGGUCGAGUCGGCCUGCGCGGAAGAUGUAACGGGGCUAAACCAU